UCAUGCGAUACUUGGUGUGAAUUGCAGAAUCCCGUGAACCAUCGAGUCUUUGAACGCAAGUUGCGCCCGAAGCCUUCUGGCCGAGGGCACGCCUGCCUGGGUGUCAUGCAUCGUUUCCCCCUACUCCCUCAUGGGAAGAGGGGCGGACAUUGGCCUCCCGUGCGCUCCCGCUCGCGGUUGGCCCAAAAUCGAGUCUGCCUGCGGCUGUAGCCACGACGAGCGGUGGUUGAACAGACCCUCUGACACUGUCGUGCGCCCGAUGCUGCAGGCUUGAAGGACUGGUAGACCCUAUUUCUCACUGUGCGACCCCAGGUCAGGCGGGACUACCCGCUGAGUUUAAGCAUAUCAAUAAGCGGAGGAAAAGAAACUUACCAGGAUUCCCUUAGUAACGGCGAGCGAACCGGGAAUAGCCCAGCUGAGAAUCGGGCGCCCACGGCGUUCGAAUUGUAGUCUGGAGAAGCGUCA
This 465-nucleotide ribosomal RNA is filed under the name Turnera angustifolia. Its description in RNAcentral is "eukaryotic LSU rRNA". The stretch from base 304 to 465 matches the Rfam family "Eukaryotic large subunit ribosomal RNA", at positions 1 to 163 of the family's 3401-position model. Lineage: Eukaryota; Viridiplantae; Streptophyta; Magnoliopsida; Malpighiales; Passifloraceae. The record is from RNAcentral.